Long non-coding RNA from Vulpes vulpes (red fox), 2318 nucleotides. NCBI's taxonomy places the organism in Eukaryota, Metazoa, Chordata, Mammalia, Carnivora, Canidae. The record is from Ensembl.
GGGGGGGGGGGGGGCGCCGCCGAGAGCUCGGCGCAGGCUCCGGACACUUUCUGGUUUACAAGACCCCGUGGCUUCCGCUUUCUUCCCCCGCCUUCCUUGUUCGUUUCAAAUGGGCCGUCCGCAGAGAUGCCUGAUCAAAAAGGGGCACAAACUCGCGCGGAGUCACUUGAGGACGCCACUGACUAAGGGACAAAAACGUCAUCGUCGCCUGGUACUGGAAAAGGGGCAAACAUCGGAGGCCGUUUUCGCCCGAAUCGUGGACGCGAGCCAGAAGUUUCAGGAAUUACAUCUUCUCCACUGAACACAGUUUUGAUGGGCAGACAGCUGUAGGUCCCUGCCACCUGCAUGGAACCUGGAGGGGACAGAGCCUUCCAGCUGUGAGCCAAUACAGCUGCAAGAUGGGUCUGGGGCCUGUGCCAAGUCAAGUCAGAAGAUUCUUCGGCUGCCGCCUCAUGAGGGAGUGAAGGUGGCUCCUCACAGCCCUAGCCAGGCACUCGGCAGUUGCCUGCAGGUCUACUGUGGUUUCUACCUAGUGAUUCUGUGGGCCUGUAAUAUCUUUCCAAUACCUACUUCCUUCCUCUUGAAUUAGCCAUUCCAUUCAUUUUCUUUUUUUUAUUUUUCUUUUUUUUUAAUUUUUAUUUAUUUAUGAUAGUCACACAGAGAGAGAAAGAGAGAGAGGCAGAGACAUAGGCAGAGGGAGAAGCAGGCUCCAUGCACCGGGAGCCCGACGUGGGAUUCGAUCCCAGGUCUCCAGGAUCACGCCCUGGGCCAAAGGCAGGGGCCAAACCGCUGCGCCACCCAGGGUCCCUCCAUUCAUUUUCUUAAGUAGCAAGAAAAAUAGAUAUUCACAGUAGAUAACAAUAGAAUAACAGAAAUGCGAUACACUGGAGUUAGAGUUCUCUCCCUAGGAAAACCACUGUUAAGUAUGAUAUGUAUCAAACUGACACAUAUUACAAACCUUUUUCUAGUCAUAUACAGAGAGAGAGGAACUAGAUUUCUAGAGAAAUUGGGGUUAUGGGAGAAGGGAUUAUUAUUCAAAAAAGGGAUCAUAUGAAAUAUACACUUAUAUACUUUUCCACUCAAUGACCUAGUAUAAACAUCCUUGUCAGUGCAUAGAGAGCUGUGUCAUUCCUUUUAAUGGCUGCAUAGAAUUCCACCGCACAAUUUAAUCCUAAUCUGUUGCCAGACAUGAACAUCGCCUCCAACUUUCUAGUAUUACAAAUAAUGAUGCAGUGAAUACCCUUAUACUUACAUGAUUUUGCAUACCAGUGAAAAUAUUUUUGUAGGUAAUGACUACAUAGAAAUCACUUCUGGAGCAAAGGACAUAUACAUUUAAAAUUUUUAUAAUAGGUACUGCCAAAUUGUCCUUCUGCAGCUACACCCACUUCCCAACAACAGGGAAGUGUUCAUCCCCCACAGUUAUGAAUAGUUUUUAAAGGUUUUUAGUAAUUUGAUAGAUGGAAAUAUCUUUCUCAUAUGGAUUUCCCUAUUGAUGAGGAUGCACAUCUUUCUCAAAAAUGUAUUAUCUAAUUUGCUUGUAGAUUUUUUCUUAUUGCUUGAUUUCUUCAUAUAUUAGAAAUAUGAACAUUUUAUCAGUUAUAUAUUGCAAUUAUUCUCUCAAAAUUACUGACUUGUCUUAAAUUUUCAGUGUCUUUGGCUGCAUAUACAUUCUUUAUAAUUUCAUUUUUUUCAAGAUUUAUUUUAGAAAGAGAGAGAGCAGGGUAAAGGGGCAGAGGGAGAGAGUCCUAAGCAGACUCUGCGGUGAGUGCAGAGCCCAACACAGGGCUCGAUCUCACAACCUGAGCUGAAACCAAGAGUCAAACACUCAGCCAACUGCGCCACCCAGGUGCCCCUACAUUCUUUGUAAGUUCUGUAAUUUUUCUCUUUAUGGCUUUUGGGUUCCUAACCACCCUCAAGAAAGUUCUCCCUGCCCCUAAGCUAUACAUGAACAUAUUUACAUACAUUUUCCCCCAGAGGCAGCAUGGUGUAAUGGUUAGUUGUAGAAGCAGAAAUUCUAGAGCUGCACUUCUUAGGUUCAAAUCCUAGCUCUGGCCAUUUGUCAGUUGCAGGACCCUGGUUCAUCUCUCUAUGCCUUUUCUCAUAGGUAACAUGGGGUUGUGGUGGUGGGGAUUGAGUUAAUAUAUGUAAAGCAUUUCGAAUAGUGCCUAGCAUAAAGAAAACUCCUUCAUUGUUUCAUUUUUUUACAUUUAGAUUUCUACCUUCUCUUUUGCAUGAUCUUCUCCUUGGGUGGAUAACCAGUUUCAUAAAAUAGUCUGACUUGAGGAAGCUACUCUAAUAAAAGACUGAGGAGCAGGCCA